CGCGUAGGUGGUUGCGUAAGUAACGUGUGAAAUCCCUCGGCUUACCCGGGGAAUUGCAUGUUAUACUGCGUGGCUUGAGGAUCACAGGGGAAAGCGGAACUCCAGGUGUAGCGGUGAAAUGCGCAGAUAUCUGGGGGAAGGCCGGCGGCGAAGGCGGCUUUCUGGGUGAUUCCUGACACUGAGGCGCGAAAGCGUGGGGAGCAAACAGGAUUAGAUACCCUGGUAGUCCACGCCCUAAACGAUGGAUACUACUCAGAAGGACCUGCAAGGGUCUUUUUGACGGAGCAAAAGCGUUAAGUAUCCCGCCUGGGGAGUAUGGUCGCAAGGCUGAA
RNAcentral lists this ribosomal RNA (332 nucleotides) under uncultured Desulfovibrio sp. RNAcentral's name for it is "bacterial SSU rRNA". It matches the Rfam family "Bacterial small subunit ribosomal RNA", at positions 568 to 898 of the family's 1533-position model. Lineage: Bacteria; Pseudomonadati; Thermodesulfobacteriota; Desulfovibrionia; Desulfovibrionales; Desulfovibrionaceae. The record is from RNAcentral.